UGGUAAAAAAAAAAAUAAUAAAUAAUAUAUAUAUAUAUAUAUAUAAUAUACAUUUUUGUUAUUUAAUUUUUAGUCUAAUAUAAAUAUAAAGUCAAAAUUAUUUUUUAUCUAUAUAUUUUAUAAUUUUUUUAACUUGUUAUCCAUAAAUCAACACGUUUCGAAUAUAAGUUAAAUUUUUUGACUCGAUAUUUUAAUGAAUUAGUUUGUGUUUGGCUCGAUUAUGAAAC
RNAcentral lists this long non-coding RNA (227 nucleotides) under Ananas comosus (pineapple). RNAcentral describes it as "long non-coding RNA (ACOM_LNC018884)". The record is from RNAcentral. Lineage: Eukaryota; Viridiplantae; Streptophyta; Magnoliopsida; Poales; Bromeliaceae.